CAGUCGCCGCGGUAAUACGUAGGGCGCAAGCGUUGUCCGGAAUUAUUGGGCGUAAAGAGCUCGUAGGCGGUCUGUCGCGUCUGGUGUGAAAUCCCGAGGCUCAACCUCGGGCUUGCAUCGGGUACGGGCAGACUAGAGUGCGGUAGGGGAGACUGGAAUUCCUGGUGUAGCGGUGGAAUGCGCAGAUAUCAGGAGGAACACCGAUGGCGAAGGCAGGUCUCUGGGCCGCAACUGACGCUGAGGAGCGAAAGCAUGGGGAGCGAACAGGAUUAGAUACUCGCGUAGUCCCUGUCUCUUAUAC
RNAcentral lists this ribosomal RNA (301 nucleotides) under uncultured bacterium. RNAcentral describes it as "partial 16S ribosomal RNA". It matches the Rfam family "Bacterial small subunit ribosomal RNA", at positions 509 to 807 of the family's 1533-position model. The record is from RNAcentral.